Non-coding RNA from Caenorhabditis elegans, 123 nucleotides. NCBI's taxonomy places the organism in Eukaryota, Metazoa, Nematoda, Chromadorea, Rhabditida, Rhabditidae. The record is from Ensembl.
GUGAACACGUCCAUACACACGUGUCUGCGGGUCUCUGAUCCUACUACUCUCUCCUCCCGUGCUUCGUGUUCUUCUUCCCGCCGGGAGCUCAAAAACGCCGCCGCCGCCGCUGUUCCUCUAACU